GUUUCUCAACCUAUAGCGCUACCAUUGUUAGAGGAGGCUUGUACGAAGUUAAUGAACACAUAGUCAUGAAUGUUUACAUUAGCAUAACAUGUCUAACAUGAUUAAAAUGUAUCACAUAGGGUAAGGAUAGAGUGUGCGUAAAAUGUUUGAUGUGAUUGUGAUGUUUGAUAUAGAAUACAUAUUGCACCCAAAAGUGGAAAAUAGAAAAUGGGUCAUGUAUACUCACAUUGAUUGCGUUGCGCUUCUUGUAUUAACGCACGAGUAAAGAUGGAGAAUAAUCCAAGAGAACGUACAAGAGAGAUUAACCUAAAUAUUAAAAUACCACAACGAAUUCGUUAUUGUAAGUUAAAUGAUAUUCCUAAUGUUCACCAUUUAUAAAUUAUUAAUUAGAUGUUAGAAUUUUAACCAAGGAUUUUUGGUAUUAUAAAAAGAGAUCUCGUUAAAUAAACUCCCUCAUAUUUAAAGUUUAAGUAAACUACAUCUCUAAUUAGUUAGAAUAAUUAACUAAUAUUUUUGCAUAAAAGAGACGUCAAAAAAAACGAGUUAACAUUUUAAGGGUUUAAAAAAAAAAAAAAAAGAUUUUAGAGUUCAUGGUUUUAAUUAAAACGAAAAAAAAAAUAUUAAAGUAUAACAUUAAAAAUAACAUACAAAGAAAGAAGUAAAAAAGUCAACAAAAGAAUUUGGUUUACAUCACCGUUUUGAAAUAUAUUGUAUUUUAAAUUCAUUUAUACUCUUGUAAAGUGAAACAUCUUCUUCAAGAAAUAACAUACAGUUUAAAGAAACAUCUUCUUCAAGAAAUAACAUACAGUUUAAAGAAAAAUAUCAUCAUCAUCCUCAUUUUAAAAGUUAUACGUACUGUUAUAUAUAUAUACACUAAAACGAGAUGUUCUAAACAAAACGAAUGGAAUAAGGGUAUUAUAUCAACAGGAGAUUUGAACGAACAUAACAAAAUGGAACAAGAAAUGUAUACCGAAACGAAGAAGAACGGAGGUCCGACGUAACAAUUCCGGCGAAACGGUUUACUCCGAGGGCUUCGGGGUUUCUCCGGUGAACUCCGGUGACGACUAGUCUUCUCCGGCGAACAUGGUGUUGUCGAGCAGAAUGUGUGGAGAUGCGGGGUGUCGGGUUGUCGAAUGAGGGUGUCGAGAGGUGAGGUGAUCGAAAGGGAAGGCUCGUGUGAAUGGAAGGUGUCGGUGAUUGGAUCGAAUAAAGGAAAGGGUCGGGCUUUUUGGUAAUGAUUGAUCGAAAGAAAAGGGAAACGCGGGAUGGCUGUUAUUCCGGCAGUUUAGCGAAGAAGAAAAGGAAACUUAAACUGUUUCUUAGCUGUGAAUGGUUGGCCGCAAAAAGGAAAAAAA
This 1355-nucleotide long non-coding RNA is filed under the name Helianthus annuus (common sunflower). RNAcentral's name for it is "hypothetical non coding rna". The record is from RNAcentral. Lineage: Eukaryota; Viridiplantae; Streptophyta; Magnoliopsida; Asterales; Asteraceae.